Pelobates cultripes (western spadefoot toad) is the source of this 476-nucleotide non-coding RNA. The record is from the annotation of a GenBank genome assembly. Lineage: Eukaryota; Metazoa; Chordata; Amphibia; Anura; Pelobatidae.
UCCAUUCAUAAAUGUAGCAUGUCACACCUCUGGAUCUACAAAAUGCAGUGUUGGGCUUUGCCAAAGUACACACAUUUAAUACUGCACCGAAGGAAACCGACCUCUUGUUUAAUUAACCUUCUCAUUGUAAGACAACCACAGGGCUCUCGUAACGGAAACUGUUCGUUUUCCCAAGCAUAAUUCUGAUACAAGUGAUACAGGAGGUGUCUGGGCCUGUUUUAUGUCAUUGACUUGGGGAUCACUGCCUUAAAAUUGAGGGAUCUGUAAUGGAGAGUAUUUCUCUUGUGAGAUUAUAAAAUCACUUUGAGAGAAUGAGAUCAUUUUCUUAGUCCAUGUUGUGAUUAUUACCUAAAUUACAGAACCCAUGGCAUCUUAAGUCAUGAAACACAUGGGAUCUGUCUCGAGCUUAACAAAUAAAUGUGUUUUAAUAUGCCGAAUGAUUGGAUUAUGGUCACAUUUUCAGCUCUGUUUCUUGG